AUGGCAGUUUUGAUGAAGCUGUAUGUUGGUGACGGCCGUGGAUUUGGUAAGUUGAACAGGGCACACAUCGUACUCAUUCCGAAGAAACCGGACGCGGAGGAAGUUGGGGACUUCCGCCCCAUUAGCCUGACGCAUAGUGCGGCGAAGUUGUUUGCUAAGAUGCUCGCUCUACGGGCUAGAAAGAGGAUGAAGGAGGUGGUGGCAGCAAACCAGUCGGCCUUCAUACAAGGGCGGAACUUGCACGACAAUUUUUUGCUAGUGAGGCAAGUGGCGAGAAAGAUCCAGGAAAGAAAAGAACCAGGGGUGUUCCUCAAGCUCGACAUCUCGAGAGCGUUCGACUCCUUAUCUUGGCCUUUCCUCUUUGAGGUCCUGAGACAAAAAGGGUUCGGCGCCAAGUGGAUUGGGUGGAUCUCGAUCCUCCUUAGAACGGCAUCUACGAAGGUGGUGGUCAAUGGUGUACCUGGUAAAAGUGUGAUUCAUGCUUGCGGCCUCAGGCAGGGAGACCCGGUCUCACCCCUGCUGUUUGUGAUUGCCAUGGACGUUCUUACACAUAUCUUCAGGAAGGGUGCAGAAGAGGGAGUUCUAAGCUCAUUUAGGGGAAUAACACCAAUGCAAAGAGUCUCCAUAUAUGCGGAUGAUGUUGCUCUCUUCAUUAGACCAACCGAAGGGGACCUGAACUUUGUCAGGAGUGCACUUCAGGCGUUUGGAAGAGCCUCGGGACUGUCCGUGAAUUACAGCAAGUCGUCGGCCAUCCUUAUCCGUGGCUCUGAGCAGGACCAGUCCCGUGUUGAGGCGUUGCUGCAAUGCAACAUUGCUGAAUUCCCAUGUAAGUACCUCGGGCUACAGCUUGCUAUCCGGCAAUUAACACGUGGGGAAUGGCAGCCGAUCUUGGACAAGGCCAAGAAGCUUGUUCCGGCUUGGCAGAGGGGGCUAAUUCAAAGGCCGGGCCGGCUCGUACUGGUGAAAUCGGUCAUGGCUGCUAGGCCGGUGCAUCAUCUCAUGGUCAUGGAUGCUCCGAAGUGGGUUUUUGAAGAGCUGGAUAAAUGGAUGCGAGCAUUCUUUUGGACAGCAGAGGAGAAGGUUAAUGGAGGAAACUGCCUUGUCGCUUGGGAUACAAUCUGCACACCUGUGUGCUUUGGAGGGCUCGGCGUCAAGAACCUGGAGUUGCAAGCAUUGGCACUCCGAGUUAGGUGGGAAUGGCUACGGAGAACAGACCCUGACAGGCCGUGGCAGAAGCUACAUAUGGUUGUUGAUAGAGAAGCACGACAAGUAUUUGACAGUCUGGUUAGCAUAACGGUGGGAAACGGAGCCAAAACUCUAUUUUGGAGAGAUAGAUGGCUGCAUGGCUUGGCCAUCGUAGAUAUUGCACCACAGAUCCAUGAUAUGGUGGACACUCGGACACGAAACCGGCGCACGGUUCAGCAAGCCUUGGAGGAUAACAGUUGGGUCCAGGAUGUGGCGGGAGAACUCAGCUUCACAGGACAUAUCCAAUUCCUAAACCUAUGCCACGCCAUCGCUACGACACAUCGAGAUGAUAGCUCCCUUGAUACAUUUGCGUGGCCGGCGGAUGCUUCGGGACAAUACUCGGCCCGAUCAGUUUACAACAUGCUCUGCCAAGGGAGGGAGAGAGUUCCUUACGCCUCGUGCAUCUGGAGGAGCUGGGCGCCGUUGAAAUGUAAAAUCCAUGUCUGGCUCACUAUCCAGCAUCGGAUCUGGACCUCCGAUCGGCGAGCGCGACAUGGACUACAAGACCACCCCUCGGCCUGUUUCACGUGCCUGCAAGAGGAGGACAAUGCAGAACACAUACACUUACAAUGCUCUUACGGUAGACAGGUGUGGCACAAGUGCAUCGUCAGGUUGAACUUGGAGGUGGCUCACCCGCUUGGGCAGGAUAGCCUGAUGGAUUGGUGGCUACAAGCUAGAAGAAACUUCACGCGGGCUGCAAGAAGAGGAUUCGACACGUUCGUAAUCGCAGUAACUUGGUCUCUAUGGAAGCAGAGAAACGCGAGAGUCUUCAACCGGAUAAAUCAACAAAAAACCGUGGAUGAGCUACACAACCACAUCAUGAUUGAGAUCAAAGAAUGGAAGGAAGCCGGACUAGGUGUAGGUGUGUUAGACCGAUUUGUGAGAGAGUAG
RNAcentral lists this ribosomal RNA (2136 nucleotides) under Triticum aestivum (bread wheat). RNAcentral's name for it is "partial small subunit ribosomal RNA". The record is from RNAcentral. Lineage: Eukaryota; Viridiplantae; Streptophyta; Magnoliopsida; Poales; Poaceae.